UCAAUUUUAUUUUCAACCCGGCAUAACAAUACCACCUCGAGAGUAAUUAUUCUUUUGAAAGAAUAAUAUAUACUAAUAAAAUAUACUGGCCGGAUACUACCUCCAUAUAUUUGAGUGGCUGAUGACUUCGUCUCUUCAAAUGUCCCAUUGUAGAUGAAUUACGAAUAGCACUUAUCCUUCACGCACGCAAAGGAGAGGAUUCAUCAGCCAUCCAUCCACGCACACAACCCAAGCACGGAGGACGCGACAUCCGGCAGAGGACUCACGUAGCCGAGGGAGACUCACGCAUCAGCCGAACACGAGGUGAGUCAGAGCAGCGCAUCAGCAAGAGUCGGGCGCACGGCAGAGGCGAAGCGAGGCGGGCUGAGUUUGCCACGGUGGCGGCGAGCGUGACGGAGCGAGGCCAUGGCAUCGGAUCGAGCUGGGCAGCCGGUUUGAAGCAGGCGAGGUGCGGCCAUGGCAGGGACACGGCCUGGGGUGAAGCGAGCCACGACAGCAUGAAGUCGAGCGGCCGGCGGCUCGUACGCUGUGAGCAAGGCGAGGCAGGAGCUGGGUGCGCAGCGCAGGCGAGGUGGAGCUGAGCGACGGCGGCAGAUGCGGGGGUUCGAGGCCGAGCCGGCCGCGGCAAGGCGAAGGUGGGCGCAGCGGCCCGAGGCUGAGCCGGCCGUCCGGGGUGGAGAGUGAGCGGAGCUACACCACAACAACGGCCUGAAUCGAUGGGCGUGGCGAGGCAGGCGCGGAACGAGGCCAAGGUGCGGAGAGGCGAGGCGGACUUGGACCGUGGUCGAUCUGUUUUCUGGAUCGUGGGAUUCGUGGCCUUCUCUUCCUUUUCUUUUCUUUGUAAUUAACCUUUUCUUCUACUGCUCUUUAUUUUUGGACACGGAAGUGCUAGAUGUACUGAUGUGCGAGAAUAGAUCGGAAAAUCAAGGCUCCUCCACCAUCGUGUGUUGCCUUGAUGGAUGUCUUAUGAUUUUCCCGGGUAAGGACGUAGCGGAACACAGCUUGAUGGAUCGCUAGCAGCCGCCAAGAAAAGUUGAUCGCGUUCACCCGAAUCCCUGUUGGUCUCUCCGAACUUGCGGCCAGGUCUAUUGGACGAUUGUUCCGUCCGUCUUGGCGAUUUUCACGGUGGCGGCGGCUCUGCCCAAGGUUAUCCCAUGCCGGGUUAUCCUGCACCAUUGUUUUGUGUCGGCUUUCCUUCAUCCAACCAAAUGUAAUCUUUUUUAUCCCUAAAAAUUU
Molecule: long non-coding RNA, 1236 nt
Filed under: Hordeum vulgare
Lineage: Eukaryota; Viridiplantae; Streptophyta; Magnoliopsida; Poales; Poaceae
Description: long non-coding RNA (HVUL_LNC012756)
Source: RNAcentral